RNAcentral lists this ribosomal RNA (321 nucleotides) under uncultured bacterium. Its description in RNAcentral is "bacterial SSU rRNA". It matches the Rfam family "Bacterial small subunit ribosomal RNA", at positions 30 to 355 of the family's 1533-position model. The record is from RNAcentral.
AUUGAACGCUGGCGGUAUGCUUAACACAUGCAAGUCGAACGGUAACAGGCCUUCGGGCGCUGACGAGUGGCGGACGGUGAGUAACGCGUAGGAAUCUGCCUCAUAGUGGGGGACAACGUGGGGAAACUCACGCUAAUACCGCAUACGCCCUACGGGGAAAGCGGGGGAUCUUCGGACCUCGCGCUAUGAGAUGAGCCUGCGUUAGAUUAGCUAGUUGGUAGGGUAAAGGCCUACCAAGGCGACGAUCUAUAGCUGGUCUGAGAGGACGAUCAGCCACACUGGGACUGAGACACGGCCCAGACUCCUACGGGAGGCAGCAGU